Molecule: transfer RNA, 68 nt
Filed under: Marmota monax (woodchuck)
Lineage: Eukaryota; Metazoa; Chordata; Mammalia; Rodentia; Sciuridae
Description: tRNA.Asp
Rfam family: tRNA
About the family: Transfer RNA (tRNA) molecules are approximately 80 nucleotides in length.
Source: RNAcentral
GGUUGGUGGCUCAGAGGUAGAGCACUCACCUGUCACAUGUGAGACCCUGGGUUCGAUCCUCAGCACCA